GAUGAACGCUGGCGGCGUGCCUAAUACAUGCAAGUCGAGCGAACAGAUGAGAAGCUUGCUUCUCUGAUGUUAGCGGCGGACGGGUGAGUAACACGUGGGUAACCUACCUAUAAGACUGGGAUAACUCCGGGAAACCGGGGCUAAUACCGGAUAAUAUUUUGAACCGCAUGGUUCAAUAGUGAAAGACGGUUUCGGCUGUCACUUAUAGAUGGACCCGCGCCGUAUUAGCUAGUUGGUAAGGUAACGGCUUACCAAGGCGACGAUACGUAGCCGACCUGAGAGGGUGAUCGGCAACACGGGAACUGAGACACGGUCCAGACCCCUACGGGAGGCAGCAGUAGGGAAUCUUCCGCAAUGGGCGAAAGCCUGACGGAGCAACGCCGCGUGAGUGAUGAAGGUCUUCGGAUCGUAAAACUCUGUUGUUAGGGAAGAACAAAUUUGUUAGUAACUGAACAAGUCUUGACGGUACCUAACCAGAAAGCCACGGCUAACUACGUGCCAGCAGCCGCCGUAA
This 514-nucleotide ribosomal RNA is filed under the name uncultured bacterium. RNAcentral describes it as "partial 16S ribosomal RNA". It matches the Rfam family "Bacterial small subunit ribosomal RNA", at positions 28 to 523 of the family's 1533-position model. The record is from RNAcentral.